AUGCCAUGACUAUUAGUCGACGUGUGGUCAGCCAAGAAUCAGCCAACUGCAGACGCAGUAAUGUCUAUUUUUGACCUCCUGCAACCCAUUUCCAUGCAGCCCUCUCCUUUCCCCAGGCCUGCAACCACCAAAUGAGAACUCAGCAAGGUGUAGCCUUCUGCACACGACACAGAAACUUGCUGAUUCACACUGAAAUCAUCCCCAUGAACAAGUACACGUGUGAUGGUUGCUGGCAGAGGACAUUUUUUGGGACUACAGGAGAUUGUCUCAGGGGACCAACGGCCAUCUUUCUGACAGGUGUGUGCCUCUCCAAUUGCCACUGCAUUGGCAACAGACGGCGGGGGUCCACAGGACAGGGGCUGACAAACUGGAUAAGGCGGGCUCCACACCCCUUUCUCGGUGCAAAUCAGAUCUGAACUGCCCUGGAUGACAUACCCAGAGAACCACAAGACCUGUGUUCACAGCGGGGGAAGUCAGAGCUCCAC
This is a long non-coding RNA of Eptesicus fuscus (big brown bat), 485 nucleotides long. RefSeq lists it as uncharacterized. Lineage: Eukaryota; Metazoa; Chordata; Mammalia; Chiroptera; Vespertilionidae. The record is from RefSeq and is a predicted model, not a curated record. The transcript has 4 exons.